CCUACGGGAGGCAGCAGUGAGGAAUAUUGGUCAAUGGACGAGAGUCUGAACCAGCCACGUAGCGUGAAGGAUGACUGCCCUAUGGGUUGUAAACUUCUUUUAUAUGGGAAUAAAAUGUUCCACGUGUGGGAUUUUGUAUGUACCAUAUGAAUAAGGCUCGGCUAACUCCGUGCCAGCAGCCGCGGUAAUACGGAGGCUCCGAGCGUUAUCCGGAUUUAUUGGGUGUAAAGGGAGCGUAGGUGGAUUGUUAAGUCAGUUGUGAAAGUUUGCGGCUAAACCGUAAAAUUGCAGUUGAAACUGGCAGUCUAGAGUACAGUAGAGGUGGGCGGAAUUCGUGGUGUAGCGGUGAAAUGCUUAGAGAUCACGAAGAACUCCGAUUGCGAAGGCAGUUCACUGGACUGCAACUGACACUGAGGCUCGAAAGUGUGGGUAUCAAACAGGAUUAGAUACCCGAGUAGUC
RNAcentral lists this ribosomal RNA (460 nucleotides) under uncultured bacterium. RNAcentral describes it as "partial 16S ribosomal RNA". It matches the Rfam family "Bacterial small subunit ribosomal RNA", at positions 338 to 795 of the family's 1533-position model. The record is from RNAcentral.